AGUGAACGCUGGCGGUAGGCCUAACACAUGCAAGUCGAACGGCAGCACAGUAAGAGCUUGCUCUUACGGGUGGCGAGUGGCGGACGGGUGAGGAAUACAUCGGAAUCUACUUUUUCGUGGGGGAUAACGUAGGGAAACUUACGCUAAUACCGCAUACGACCUACGGGUGAAAUCAGGGGAUCUUCGGACCUUGCGCGGUUGAAUGAGCCGAUGUCGGAUUAGCUAGUUGGCGGGGUAAAGGCCCACCAAGGCGACGAUCCGUAGCUGGUCUGAGAGGAUGAUCAGCCACACUGGAACUGAGACACGGUCCAGACUCCUACGGGAGGCAGCAGUGGGGAAUAUUGGACAAUGGGCGAAAGCCUGAUCCAGCCAUACCGCGUGGGUGAAGAAGGCCUUCGGGUUGUAAAGCCCUUUUGUUGGGAAAGAAAAGCAGCAGGUUAAUACCCCGCUGUUCUGACGGUACCCAAAGAAUAAGCACCGGCUAACUUCGUG
RNAcentral lists this ribosomal RNA (492 nucleotides) under uncultured bacterium. Its description in RNAcentral is "partial 16S ribosomal RNA". It matches the Rfam family "Bacterial small subunit ribosomal RNA", at positions 29 to 507 of the family's 1533-position model. The record is from RNAcentral.